AGGACUUUAGUGGAGAUGAGCUGUCACUCGCUAUUAAAAGUUCAAAGUCAAAUUUGCAGUCCACUUCUGGCAAGGAAGACAGAGCUGCGUGGCCUCUAACAUUUUGUGGGCCAUUGCAAAGCUCGCAUUCUCCGUGCCUGUGGAGCUUCAUGGUGCAAACAGCCAUGAUCAGGCCUGUCCGGGUGGUCCAGGCUCGCCAAAUUCUAGUCCAGCACCCCUUGGAGACACAGGCGUCCUCCCCACAUCUAGAGACUUUUGAAACUAAGACAGCAAACCAGGGAAUUGAAAACAUUAGCUCUGAAGUCACGCUGCUUGGGCUCAAGGGCCAGAUCUGUUCAUAAUCAUUGGUGCACCUGGGCAGAUUUCUUAAUGUGCCUGUGCCUCAGUUUCCUCAUGUGUAAAACGGGGUGGUAGUAGUUCCUCCUUCACGAGAUUGUGGUAAAGUUUCCUGCUAAACGCCCAGCAUGUGAUAAGGACUCCACAAAUGCUUUGUUGUUAUUAUUUGAAAGAAUUGGUAAAACAGGAUCCCAAAAUUGUGGUAUAUUUUCAUGUUUAC
Long non-coding RNA from Neofelis nebulosa (Clouded leopard), 556 nucleotides. RefSeq lists it as uncharacterized. NCBI's taxonomy places the organism in Eukaryota, Metazoa, Chordata, Mammalia, Carnivora, Felidae. The transcript has 3 exons. The record is from RefSeq and is a predicted model, not a curated record.